Long non-coding RNA from Pelodiscus sinensis (Chinese soft-shelled turtle), 640 nucleotides. RefSeq lists it as uncharacterized. The record is from RefSeq and is a predicted model, not a curated record. Lineage: Eukaryota; Metazoa; Chordata; Testudines; Trionychidae.
GAGCAACCUCCGGGGCUUUGUUGUGCAGCCAGCUUAAUCCCCAGGUGGGUGUGGCAGUGACAUCACAAAGGCCUGUUACAGGACUUCAGUCUAUGGGGGGACAGUGGUGGGGAGGUGCUGACCUCACAGAGACCCUGACAUCAGCUAGGCAGGACAGAGGUACAAGGCAGGGGCUUUGAAGCAACAAGUUUCCUUCUCCAGGUCUCUCCUUGGGGACGGAGAGAGAAUUAGAAUUAAAGCUCUGCACAAGGCCUUGUCUGACCUCAGGCGUGCCAUGGUUGGAAAUGUGCUGGCAGAGCCCCAGACACAGACUGGCUCCAAUACAUUUUGGAGUCCUUGGCAGCUUGCUCUAUCUUCCGUGAGAAUCUACUGAUCAGUCAGCUGUUCUGACUUCAAGUGGAGUUUUGCAUGGAGGACAUGUACGUUCAGGGACUGAUUUCAUGGCUUUAUUUUGUUUUGUUCAGGUGAAAUAAUAAGCAAAUUGAAAAAGAACAAAGUGGGUGAGUGAAAUAACGGCCUUGCUUUUCUACAGUGAUAAUACCCUGAGCUCCAGAACUAGAUGGUAUCCCAAUCCAAUAAUUAUGGGGAUGCUUCUCAUGACUAGAAUAUCAUUACAAUUCAGGGAAUAGUGUAAUUUUAA